Molecule: ribosomal RNA, 40 nt
Filed under: Geotrichum candidum
Lineage: Eukaryota; Fungi; Ascomycota; Dipodascomycetes; Dipodascales; Dipodascaceae
Description: partial 28S ribosomal RNA
Source: RNAcentral
GAUUACCCGCUGAACUUAAGCAUAUCAAUAAGCGGAGGAA